RNAcentral lists this RNase P RNA (364 nucleotides) under Salmonella enterica. RNAcentral's name for it is "partial RNase P RNA component class A". It matches the Rfam family "Bacterial RNase P class A". From Rfam's summary of the family: Ribonuclease P (RNase P) is a ubiquitous endoribonuclease, found in archaea, bacteria and eukarya as well as chloroplasts and mitochondria. Its best characterised activity is the generation of mature 5'-ends of tRNAs by cleaving the 5'-leader elements of precursor-tRNAs. RNAcentral also lists the same sequence under 1 other name. Lineage: Bacteria; Pseudomonadati; Pseudomonadota; Gammaproteobacteria; Enterobacterales; Enterobacteriaceae. The record is from RNAcentral.
GAAGCUGACCAGACAGUCGCCGCUUCGUCGUCGUCCUUUCGGGGAGACGGGCGGAGGGGAGGAAAGUCCGGGCUCCAUAGGGCAGGGUGCCAGGUAACGCCUGGGGGGGAAACCCACGACCAGUGCAACAGAGAGCAGACCGCCGAUGGCCCACGUAAGUGGGAUCAGGUAAGGGUGAAAGGGUGCGGUAAGAGCGCACCGCGCGGCUGGUAACAGUCCGUGGCACGGUAAACUCCACCCGGAGCAAGGCCAAAUAGGGGUUCAUAAGGUACGGCCCGUACUGAACCCGGGUAGGCUGCUUGAGCCAGUGAGCGAUUGCUGGCCUAGAUGAAUGACUGUCCACGACAGAACCCGGCUUAUCGGU